RNAcentral lists this ribosomal RNA (338 nucleotides) under Salmonella enterica subsp. enterica serovar Schwarzengrund. Its description in RNAcentral is "bacterial LSU rRNA". It matches the Rfam family "Bacterial large subunit ribosomal RNA", at positions 1192 to 1532 of the family's 2925-position model. The record is from RNAcentral. Lineage: Bacteria; Pseudomonadati; Pseudomonadota; Gammaproteobacteria; Enterobacterales; Enterobacteriaceae.
CACCGAAGCUGCGGCAGCGACGCUGAUGCGUUGUUGGGUAGGGGAGCGUUCUGUAAGCCUGCGAAGGUGGCCUGUGAGGGUUGCUGGAGGUAUCAGAAGUGCGAAUGCUGACAUAAGUAACGAUAAAGCGGGUGAAAAGCCCGCUCGCCGGAAGACCAAGGGUUCCUGUCCAACGUUAAUCGGGGCAGGGUGAGUCGACCCCUAAGGCGAGGCCGAAAGGCGUAGUCGAUGGGAAACGGGUUAAUAUUCCCGUACUUGGUGUUACUGCGAAGGGGGGACGGAGAAGGCUAAGUUGGCCGGGCGACGGAUGUCCCGGUAUAAGCGUGUAGGUGUGUGUU